CCGGUGACACCGCCCAGCAGCCCGCCUUCGCCCCGCUCCCCCCGCCAUUCCCUGGCCGCUUUCCCCGCCCCGCCGGCGAGGCCGAUUCUUUGUAUGCCCACAGCUGUUGACUGCUGCUGAAAGAAGCAGGAGGGAAAAGAAGACUACAAACACAUUCAUCAGUAGCCACAGCCUGAGGAAGCAAGUCUAAUUGAACUUCUUAAUGCUGUUCAAGCAGAGACUGCCAAUCCCAACAUGCCAUACGCAGCUCUGUAGUGAAGACUGAGAUGAAGUGGGGCUGGUGGCUUUUAUUUCUUGCCCUGCUCAUACAGAAUUCUGUCUUUCUAAUUUUCAUGAAAUUGAAAUAAGAUUCUUCUGCUCUAAUCAAAAGAAGAUGCCUGACAGUUCCCUGUGUAAACAUACUGUAAACAACUGUGGGUAAUUGUUCUUUAUUUUCUUUUGUUGUUUACUUCAUUUCAGUUUUCUCUACUAAUCUGUUUUAUACAGCACUGUACAAAGUAGUAAUCAAAGAAAUGGAAAUACAUUCAACAUCUGCACUUUUUGUUUUCCAAAUAAGAAAUAAUUUCAGACUGUA
Long non-coding RNA from Pezoporus flaviventris, 574 nucleotides. RefSeq lists it as uncharacterized. NCBI's taxonomy places the organism in Eukaryota, Metazoa, Chordata, Aves, Psittaciformes, Psittacidae. The transcript has 4 exons. The record is from RefSeq and is a predicted model, not a curated record.